GUUAUCCUUGAAAUAAUCUUGCUCCGCUAACAUUACCCAUUUCUAUAGAUAUUUCACUUUAGUAGUAUUUUUAUCCAAUAAAAUUUUAAGUUUGCCCACAUUGAAUUUUUAAAUUUGCUUCCAAAGCAAUCUCACUCCUAUUAGCUCCAUCCAUUUAUUUGGACAUUUCAUUUUAAUGGUAUUUCACCUACGAAAAUUUUAGAUUUGCCCCAAAUUUGUUCUCAAAGUAAAUUGAUAUUGUUAUGAAAAGUCAAUAUUUAUAUU
This 264-nucleotide unclassified non-coding RNA is filed under the name Hevea brasiliensis (rubber tree). Lineage: Eukaryota; Viridiplantae; Streptophyta; Magnoliopsida; Malpighiales; Euphorbiaceae. The record is from RNAcentral.